GCGGAAGUAGUUCAAUGGUAGAAUUCAGGUCUGUGGAACCUGAGACGCGGGUUCAAUUCCCGCUUUUCGCC
Molecule: transfer RNA, 71 nt
Filed under: Candidatus Woesearchaeota archaeon
Lineage: Archaea; Nanobdellati; Candidatus Woesearchaeota
Description: tRNA-His
Rfam family: tRNA
About the family: Transfer RNA (tRNA) molecules are approximately 80 nucleotides in length. Their secondary structure includes four short double-helical elements and three loops (D, anti-codon, and T loops).
Source: RNAcentral